RNAcentral lists this long non-coding RNA (908 nucleotides) under Mytilus galloprovincialis (Mediterranean mussel). The record is from RNAcentral. Lineage: Eukaryota; Metazoa; Mollusca; Bivalvia; Mytilida; Mytilidae.
GUCUGACUAAGGAUUUAUAUGCCUGUUCCUUUACUGAGGUGGAACUGAUGUUAAGGUUCCUUCUUAGAAAACCUAGUGUACUGUUAGCCUUAUUACAGAUGGUGUUUAUGUGACUGUGCCAUUUUAGGUCUGAUUGUAUUGUCACGCCUAGGUAUUUUGCUUUGUCCACAUGUUCAAGAACAUGGCCGUGUAGAGUGUAAUUGUAAGUAAUUGGAUUUUUAUUUCGACUGAUGGACAUAACAUUACACUUGUCAGGAUGAAAAGCCAUUUUCCAAGUAUGUUCCCAGAUGCCUAGUGUGUUUAGAUCUUUUUGUAGGGUUUCGCAGUCGCUGUUAGAUUUUAUAACCAGAUAAGCAAUAGUGUCGUCUGCGAAAAGGCGUAUGGUGGAAUUUAGCCCAACUGGAAUAUCAUUAAUAUAAAAUAGAAACAGACUUGGGCCCAGAACAGAUCCUUGAGGCACUCCUGACUUCACAGGGACAUAGCCUGAAGUCUCACCCUCUAGAAUAACUGCUUGGGUACGACAUGAUAAAAAACCCUGUAUCCAUGCAUUUGUUUUCCCCUGUAUCCCAUAGUAAUUUAGUUUGUGUGAUAAUAAAUUAUGGCUGACUUUAUCAAAAGCUUUAGAAAAGUCCAUUAUGAGUACAUCUGUUUGUUUUGAAGUUUCAAUAUUUUUAGUGACAUCAUCUAUAAAUUCCAAAAGCUGAGUUUCACAAGAUCUAUUUUUUCGAAAGCCGUGUUGAAGGGGAUACAGGAUGUUAUGGUUGUCUGCGUGUGUCAUGAUUGCGCUAACUACAACAUGUUCUAUAAGUUUGCAACAUAUGCAUGUUAAAGAAAUAGGCCUAUAAUUCUCUGGAUUAUAUUUGGACCCUUUCUUAAAGAUGGGAGAAACAUGUGCAGUACGCCAGUCA